RNAcentral lists this long non-coding RNA (598 nucleotides) under Gallus gallus (chicken). Lineage: Eukaryota; Metazoa; Chordata; Aves; Galliformes; Phasianidae. The record is from RNAcentral.
AAAUGACAACAUCGAUUUUAAGAUUUCUGAUCUUCUUUUAGAUUGAAGAACAUUGAUCUGAAGAACAUAAUCCAGAGCUAUGUGCCGAAAACAUUUCCGUGUUGCAGUCAAAAUAUUGGUUGCUUCCUCUACUUCAUGCUGCUUAUUCCUUUGAACUUGGGCAUUUUUUACUAGAGCAUUCUCUUUUUCUUCACUAACUUUUUCAAACUGCUUCUUUGCAUCUUUAAAUUUCUUAAUAUCUCUGCAACAAAGGAAGGAUAGAUGGCAAAUGAAUUCCAAAGCACGAAGUACGUGUUUAAAGAUUCACUGAACAGCCUGUGUUGUGACUGCUAGAGGUGGCUUCUUUGCUUUCGCAUUCUCAACAAAUGCUGAGAUCAAAUAAAGAAAUCAAAGUAUUACUGCAGCCUCUCUGUCCUCUUCCGAGUAAAGGAAAAAAUUGAAAUUUACAUCAAUGUAUCCCCUGCUCAGUGGGAAAAGCUCCUUUCUUCUAAGCUUGGAGAAUGACAACACAUAACUUAUGGUUAGUAAUUUCAACUAUUCCCAUUUAAACAUUUCUGCAGCUGAAACAAAAGCCUCUCAGAUUUUGAGUGAUUUCUGA